GUGUAUAGCCAUACCAUCCUGAAGGGAACGGAUCACUUGAUCUUGUAAGCUAAACAGGGUUGGGCCUGGUUAGUACUUGGAUGGGAGAGAAAGACAGACAGACAGAGACA
This 110-nucleotide ribosomal RNA is filed under the name Nannospalax galili (Upper Galilee mountains blind mole rat). The record is from RNAcentral. Lineage: Eukaryota; Metazoa; Chordata; Mammalia; Rodentia; Spalacidae.